Drosophila novamexicana is the source of this 1590-nucleotide RNA transcript. It is a transcript of the gene named myb-like protein W, with no coding region annotated. Lineage: Eukaryota; Metazoa; Arthropoda; Insecta; Diptera; Drosophilidae. The record is from RefSeq and is a predicted model, not a curated record. The transcript is spliced from 3 exons.
GCAUAGCAUCAUUUUAUUAUAUAUAUAGUUUUUCAAAUGUGACACACCAAAUUUGGUCCAAUAAAUCAGCAGAAGAGCAGAAAAUACACAGUUAAGAGUAAAACACACGGGCCACACACGCACGGGCGCGCAUCAUCAAAGAAUCAUCGAUGAAACGCAUAACGAUUAAUCAAUUUAUCGAUAUCGACGAAGCGGCAGCAGCAGCAGCAGCAGCACAACAGCAUCCUUCAAGAACUAAACGAACUACAACAACAGCAACAACAGCAACAACAACAACAGAAUUGAUCGUUCAGAUCGAUUAAAGGGUAUUGUUCAGGUCGAGGUCGUACUCGGGGCCUCGCGUUCGCUCGCGCACACACACACACACACAAAACACUUUGUCGUGCGUUUUUUUUGUUUUUGUUUUUUGUUCGUUGUUUGUUGUCUCUUUGCCAGCAUUGGCACACGCUUUGACACGUGUGUUGAAUCUUGGUGUUAUUUCAUUUGUCCAUUAAUGCCAACUACUCUUUAUCGUUGUUAUUUUCCUAAUUUCGUGUUGCCCCGUCGGACCGAUCGAACGUUGAUGUUAACGUGUCGCUUGCAACGUGACGAUACCGAUAACGAUAACGAUACCGAUACCGAUACCAAUUGCACACAAAUAACCAACAAUUUCAAAUCGCUGGCAUAUCGAAAACAGAACAUAACGCAAACAAUUGCAGCCAACAGCAACAAUAACAGCAGUAAUAACAGUAACAACAGUAACAGUAAACGUAAACAUAACCGUAACAGUAACCAUAACAGUGUGACCCACUGUAACUGCAAGAAUAACAUUAACAGAUUUGCAGAGAGUGCAAACAGAACUGUUAACAAGAAGAAGAUCCUGUUAGCCACUGUGGUGUGUGUGCCAACUGCCUGGGUAAACGACAUCAACCUGACGCCGCCCAAGCAAUCGAAGUUGUCGUUGACGUUGACGUGGACGUUGCCAUUGCCAUUGCAAUUUCUGGCCGCGCUCGUUCAGCUCCUGCUCGUGACAACGAACCAUAAAAGCGAGCUGCAUCAUAUGCUGUGCGAUUUAACCAUCCAGCGACAUACUGUGGCCAUUACCUAUGACCUCAGCCUCAGCGAUAGCGAAGCGUUAACAAUAUUUUUGAUGUGGUCUAACUUUUGGUUAAGCUUUGCUUCAAAAUUACUGCGUAUAAAAAGAAGAAGAGAGAGCCGAUGCUAGCAGCUCCAUUAAGCUCUCGAUGAGGCGGCAUUGAAAGGCUGGCGUAAGAGCGAGCAACCGAUCGAUCGUUCUAGCCCCCAACAUCCACACCCUUCCCCCUCCCAACCAACCAACCUAUAACAAACCCAACCCAACAUCCAAACAACUCGAAGAUCAAGCUAGUUUCAAGAUUCCAAAGCAAAGCAAAGCAAACCAUUGCGGCUCAGUCCAGUUGUCCAGUGUACUUAGUUGUGUCGAAGUGGGUUACCAAUGUUUACUUGCUAUGCACCGUUCCGAAAGCUGGCCUAACUGUAUACCUAUGUGGAAACACCAGCAAAAAAAGGCGCACCUCCAAUUCCACAAAAACGGAGUAAAGGCUUCGAACUGUGCAUGAAUUCAAAGAGGCG